Molecule: ribosomal RNA, 466 nt
Filed under: uncultured bacterium
Lineage: Bacteria
Description: partial 16S ribosomal RNA
Rfam family: Bacterial small subunit ribosomal RNA
Source: RNAcentral
GAUGAACGCUGGCGGCGUGCUUAACACAUGCAAGUCGAACGGAAAGGCCCAAGCUUGCUUGGGUGCUCGAGUGGCGAACGGGUGAGUAACACGUGGGUGAUCUGCCCUGCACUUCGGGAUAAGCCUGGGAAACUGGGUCUAAUACCGGAUAGGACCACAUUCUGGAUGGUGUGGUGGAAAGUUUUUCGGUGUGGGAUGAGCUCGCGGCCUAUCAGCUUGUUGGUGGGGUAAUGGCCUACCAAGGCGUCGGCGGGUAGCCGGCCUGGGAGGGUGUACGGCCACAAUGGGACUGGGGUACGGCCCAGACUCCUACGGGAGGGAGCAGGGGGGAAUAUUGCACAAUGGGGGCGAGCCUGAUGCAGGGAAGCCGGGUGGGGGAUGACGGCCUUCGGGUUGUAAACUCCUUUCGCUAGGGACGAAGCGUUAUGUGACGGUACCUGGUGAAGAAGCACCGGCUAACUACGUG